Molecule: long non-coding RNA, 495 nt
Organism: Sinocyclocheilus rhinocerous
Lineage: Eukaryota; Metazoa; Chordata; Actinopteri; Cypriniformes; Cyprinidae
Exons: 5
Source: RefSeq, a predicted model, not a curated record
UUUUAUUUAAAUUCCCCAGAAUCUGCGGUAGGAGGCACACCUUACUAUAAUGAUGUCAGCACAGGUCCAACAGAGCAACAAGUCACACCAGAGAAUUAUGAUGAUGUAAUCACUGUUGGACUGACACAUCAUACUAGAGGUGACAUAUCAGAAAGCUAUGAUGAUGUUGUCAUCAUAAGACAGCUCUCCAAUAAUAAAGCAGAGGGAGAUCUGGAGGAGUAUGAUAAUGUAAGGAAUGUCAGGGAAGAUGUGCGAGACCUCUCUGCAGACUAUGAUUAUUUGAGGGAAGAGCCAGGAAAACAGGGAGGGACUGUUUAAGUCAGUGACUACACCCACUGCCUCACAUCUUAUUACAGCUUUUAGUUGCUCUGCACUUAAAAGUGUUGAAUGUACCAACACAAUUGCAUUUAGCCAAAGCUUGCUGUUGUUACAAUUACUAGACAUUAAUAGAAAACAUGGACAUCAAUUCAGUACAAAUAUAGAACAAAUUCAUAA